CCACUCUUUUGUUGACCUGGAUUCUUUAACUACUUGCCACGUCAUACUUCUCGGAUAUUCUCUCCGAUGUCCAAAACGUCAGACAUUCACCCAAUCACACCGUGCCAUGUGGCUGGCCGUUACUUCCUCUAUUCUCCAUUCUUAAUUUUUUGAAAUUAAUUUAAUUAGAAGUAAAAACAAAAAAAAAAAAAACCAUUCAAAAUAUAUUUAUUUAUAAUUCAAACAUAGUCCUAAUUUGCUUCGUUUUCCUUUGAUUUCACCAGAAUUUCCCUAAAUUCAAAAUUCUGAAUCUGUUUUUUCUUCGCAUUUAGAGUUUCCGUAUUCUUUUUCUUGGUGUAUGUGGAGUUUAAGCAAAGUUUGGCGCCCGAAUCAACUUUCAUAUAUUUAUUCUCUUCCUCCUGGUUUUAAAUUUGAUUGAAUUUUAUUUUGGAGGUGAAUGAGGAGAAAAUCCGGUUGUAAUUGGUUCGAGUAAAACAAGCUACUGCAAACAUUUUGAUUUAUUGGCAUCCUUCACAAUUGUAUUAUAAUAUGAAUUAUUCUGAUGUUUCUAAUUCAAUUUUAUACUGCUAAAACAUGAUAAACGUUUUUUGAUUUAGUGGAUUAAAUGGAGAUAUCUGCUCUUUUAACCUCAGCAGGGGUCAAUAUAGGCAUUUGUUGUGGGCUUUUUUCAUUGUACUCUAUAUUGAGAAAACAACCAAGCAAUAGAAAUGUAUAUUUUGGACGUAAAUUGGCUGAAAUUAGAUCAUCUAAGCGUAAUGAUCCUAAUUGGUUCGAGAGAUUUGUGCCAUCUCCUAGUUGGAUUUUAAAGGCCUGGGAGACAUCUGAAGAUGUUAUAUUGGCUAUUGGCGGACUGGAUGCUGUUGUUUUUAUGAGGUUGCUUGUAUUCAGCAUUAGAAUUUUCUCCAUAGCUGCAAUUGUGUGCACGGCUAUUGUUCUUCCUUUAAAUUAUUAUGGACAAGAAAUGGAGCACAAGCUUAUUCCUUCCGAGUCACUAGAAGUAUUUACCACUCAAAAUGUUAAAGAAGGUUCUUGGCUUUGGGCUCAUUGUCUUGCAUUGUAUAUCAUUUCGUUUUCUGCCUGCAUACUUCUCUACUUUGAGAAUAAAAGUAUCAUUAAAAGAAGGCUUGCCUAUAUCAAAGGAUCCGCUCAAGAGUUAAGUCAAUUCGUGGUUCUUGUUAGAGGUAUACCUUGGUCAGCAGAAGAGUCUUAUAGUACUUCAUUGAAGAAAUACUUUACAAAGUACUAUCCAUCUUCUUAUCUUUCUCACCAGAUGGUGUACCAUUCCGGGAAAAUUGAGAAGCUGAUGAAAAGUGUCAGGGAGAUGUACGAUGUUCUUUAUCAUGAUAGCCUUCCAUCCUGUAAUUCGUGUGGUUUCCCAAGUACAGGACGUGGACGAUCAAAUGCAUUCAAUAUUCUUGUUAAUGAACCAGAAGUUAUUGAAAAAGGGAAAAUGGAUUUUCAUGACUUGGGUGAUAGUGAUAAGGAGUGUCCAGCAGCUUUUGUGUUCUUUAGGACUCGCUAUGCGGCUGCUUGUGCUGCAAAGGCUCUUCAAUCAUCAAACCCAAUGAUGUGGGUCACUCAUCAGGCUCCAGAGCCUCGGGAUGUAUAUUGGCGAAAUUUAACUAUUCCUUAUAGACUAUUCUGGUUGCGAAGGACCGGAACUCUUCUCGCUACUGCAGCCUUCCUGGUUUUCUUUAUUGCUCCAGUUACUCUUGUGCAGAGUUUGGCUAAUUUAACACAACUUCAGCAGACAUUUCCAUCCUUGAGAGGACUCUUAAAGAUAAAGUAUGUGAAACAGCUGGCAACAGGUUACCUACCUAGUGUCAUAUUGGUAUUGUUUUUCUAUACUGUCCCACCAUUGAUGAUUCUCUUUUCGACUAUUGAGGGGUCAAUCUCUCGAAGUACAAGGAAAAGGGGUGCCUGCUGCAAAGUGCUAUUUUUCACCAUCUGGAAUGUUUUCUUUGUUAACAUUGCAUCUGGAACUAUGCUCAACAAACUGGAUGUUUUUUCUCAACCGAAAAACAUACCUCUACAAUUGGCAGCUGGAGCAGUGCCUGCCGCGGUCAAAUUCUUCAUGACUUAUGUCUUGACAUCAGGUUGGAACAGUUUGGCGUGUGAAGUUGUGCAACUCUGGCCACUUCUUUGUAACAUUAUCUACAAGUUCAUUCUUAGGAAGGAUCAUGGCCCUUUUGAUGGAGAAUACACUUUUCCGUAUCAGACUGAAGUUCCAAGAGUCCUUUUAUUUGGACUUCUUGGUUUCAAUUUUGCAAUCUUGGCACCUUUGAUUCUUCCGCUGUUGCUGGUUUAUUUUUGUCUUGCCUACCUUGUGUACCGUAAUCAGAUCGUCAAUGUUUAUAUCACGGAGUAUGAUAGUGGUGGUAAAUAUUGGCCAAUUGUCCAAAACUCGACAAUAUUCUCGUUGGUGUUGGCUCAAAUUAUGGCCAUAGGCGUCUUUGUGUCAAAAAAAUCAACAGUAUGUUUGGGAUUCACUAUCCCAUUAGCCAUAUGUACCCUUCUGUUCCACGAAUUUUGUAGGCGGAGAUUUCUCCCUGUAUUCUGGAACAUUGCUGCCGAGGUUCUUAUUGAUUUGGAUCAACAAGAUGUAAAAAGUGGAAGAAUGGAGAUCAUACAUCAACGACUUCCAACUGCCUAUUGUCAAUUCGAAUGGAUUUAUGGUCGUUCUAGAAUGAAAACGAAGUACCUUUCUGAUGAUGAAGACACUCAAAGGCAUACAAAAGAACUUAAGACAGAAAGUGAAUUCAGCCAAGAAAAAAGAACAGAUGAUUUUGUAGCUUCUAUAGACAAAUCAUGGCCUAUGGAUCACACUGUGCAAGUGGAACCCAAAACAGGUAUUGGGAUAGAGACUACUAUAGGAGGACACGAAGACGAGAAGAUAAUGAAGGCAUGAACUUCAUUGAGUCUGUCUUCUAGCAGCAUGAGUCAUGAAGCAAGAUCUUUAGUGCAACUUUGCAAGAGUGAAUGAUUUAAGUUUUAUUCAUUGAAUGAUAUAAGUUUUUAAUUGAAUAGAUGAUGAACAUUAUUUCUUAAUUCUUAUGAUGGUGAUGUCAAAUAUCUUAAUUUGUGUGAAUUUAGCUUCAGUCGCCUUGCCUUGAAAUGAUGUCAAUCUGGAUAUCAAAUGGUGUGUGUGUUAUCAUUUUUUAACUACGUUAAUAUGUUGCAUUUUGAUGAUUUUGGCAGAUAGGACAGUAUAUAGUGUUAAAUGGUGGUGUGAUAACAGUUGAAGAACUUGCACCAUACCUGGAUGUACAAACCGAAAAAGAGGCAAAUAUAUCUUCGUUGGAAAUUUUUUGUAGUCAAUGACAAAGUUGGUGAUAGCUACAAGCAUU
Amaranthus tricolor (Joseph's coat) is the source of this 3347-nucleotide RNA transcript. It is a transcript of the gene named CSC1-like protein RXW8, with no coding region annotated. The record is from RefSeq and is a predicted model, not a curated record. Lineage: Eukaryota; Viridiplantae; Streptophyta; Magnoliopsida; Caryophyllales; Amaranthaceae. The transcript is spliced from 15 exons.